UUCUCACACUUCUGUUAACAGUCACCAUCAUCUUAAAGUCCACUUUUCCAUGCUUGCAUGGGUCAGACCAAAUUUCUUGAGGCAGUUUUUCUACAACCAAAUGCCCUUCCUGUUGCCAACCCUUACUUUUUUCCAAGUAAGGUAAUAUCUCCCCAU
Molecule: long non-coding RNA, 156 nt
Organism: Octopus sinensis (East Asian common octopus)
Lineage: Eukaryota; Metazoa; Mollusca; Cephalopoda; Octopoda; Octopodidae
Exons: 3
Source: RefSeq, a predicted model, not a curated record